UUGGGUUUGGUCAAAAAGUUUGUGUGGGUUUUUCUGUAAUACCUUAUGGACCGGAACGAACUUUUUGGCCAAUCCAAU
This 78-nucleotide microRNA precursor is filed under the name Ovis aries (sheep). Its description in RNAcentral is "miRNA (ENSOARG00000021952.1)". The record is from RNAcentral. Lineage: Eukaryota; Metazoa; Chordata; Mammalia; Artiodactyla; Bovidae.